GUGCUCGCUUCAGCAGCACAUACACUCAAAUUGGAACAAUACGGAGAAGAUUAGCAUGAUCCCUGUGCAAGGAUGACACGCAAAUUCAUGAAGCAUUCCAUAUUUUU
Otolemur garnettii (small-eared galago) is the source of this 107-nucleotide small nuclear RNA. NCBI's taxonomy places the organism in Eukaryota, Metazoa, Chordata, Mammalia, Primates, Galagidae. The record is from Ensembl.